RNAcentral lists this long non-coding RNA (1181 nucleotides) under Prunus dulcis (almond). Its description in RNAcentral is "sRNA ncRNA". Lineage: Eukaryota; Viridiplantae; Streptophyta; Magnoliopsida; Rosales; Rosaceae. The record is from RNAcentral.
AUGCUUGCAUAUCUACAUUUGCACGCCAAUCAUAAUUUGGUGGCACGGAUAAGGCCAACAAGGAUACCAAUCUCAAUCUGGCUUCACGAAGAAGGUAAUUAACAGCUCUCGACCCACUUAUUGAUUCUUUAAUUUCAAAAACAAUAUGCAGAAAAUCUACAGAAAACAAAAUCAUUCUUACAAGGGUACAUUUGAUGAUGAUCGCUCUGUUUCAUACACUUAUCAUAACAUAGUUUAACAACGAUCAAGGGAAACAUUCUCACCAGUGACAUCAAGAAAUUAGUUGCACACACUGACAUCAAGAAAGAAUUUGCUAUUUAUUUGUCAUAUUUAUGUUUCCUAAUGGCUAAAGAUAGAAAUGAGGUACUGAAGCUCUAUUGGAAGCCCCUUUUCAGUCUAUCAUGGCAAUCGGGAAAAUCUACAAAAUGGAAUGGUUCCCAAACAUAUACUAUAGUUGUAACAAAAAACAUUCCAACAUUGUGUUAUAUAAAUUAUGAAGAUGUAGCAUUUUUUGCAAGGCCUUCAAAUUACUAUUAUUUAGUGUGGAUCUCCGUUUAAUUUAUAUGCUCAGGGCGCAUUUAUUUACCAUAUUCAUGUUUCCUGGUGGAUAACGAUAUAAAGAAACGCUUCUACUGUGCAUUUAUGCCCCAUUUGAGUUUUACAUAACAACCAGGAGAAUCUCACUAAAUUGAAUCGAAGUUUUUAUGAGAAUUCUCAAUCUCUUGGAGCCGAGUGUUUUUUGUGCUAUUAAUUUGAUUUUCUCCUGAUUCGUAUGCUAUAUUUGAUAGUGUGAUUAUUUUGUGAAUUUGUGGAUGUGAUAUGUUAUCACAGUAUUCAAGGCAAAAUGUAUCAUUAGUUUGGUUUGUUUGUGUAAUGGCAUGGGGAUAGAUAGUGAUAGACAUGAUCCUUGGUGCUGUAAUGGGGGAUGGUCUGUGAGUAGUCUGUUCCCCUAUAAAAACUUUACUUUCCUACCAGCUUGGAACGUGGUUGUCUCUCUAAGCAUAAUAUAAAUCGUAUGGUUCACGAAUCCUAAAACAAUAUGUUCCACCAUGGACUUCUCUUUUGGAAGAGCGCCAGCCUGUUUUAUGAACUGUCAUGUGGAAGAAUGCAGUUCUGAUCUGAGAGUUGGUUUACGACAAGCUUCUCAUGUGGAAGAGUGCAGAGGCUGUCCUGCUGGUUGA